This is a small nucleolar RNA of Oncorhynchus kisutch (coho salmon), 80 nucleotides long. Lineage: Eukaryota; Metazoa; Chordata; Actinopteri; Salmoniformes; Salmonidae. The record is from Ensembl.
CUGGUGUGUUCAGAGCAGGUGUCUCUCAGACCAUAGACACCUGUUUAUACCACACCAUACAACAGCAGGAGUCUAGAAGA